This 119-nucleotide ribosomal RNA is filed under the name Pseudomonas sp. MF6767. Its description in RNAcentral is "partial 16S ribosomal RNA". It matches the Rfam family "Bacterial small subunit ribosomal RNA", at positions 1415 to 1533 of the family's 1533-position model. The record is from RNAcentral. Lineage: Bacteria; Pseudomonadati; Pseudomonadota; Gammaproteobacteria; Pseudomonadales; Pseudomonadaceae.
UUGCACCAGAAGUAGCUAGUCUAACCUUCGGGAGGACGGUUACCACGGUGUGAUUCAUGACUGGGGUGAAGUCGUAACAAGGUAGCCGUAGGGGAACCUGCGGCUGGAUCACCUCCUUA